Microplitis mediator is the source of this 434-nucleotide long non-coding RNA. RefSeq lists it as uncharacterized. The record is from RefSeq and is a predicted model, not a curated record. Lineage: Eukaryota; Metazoa; Arthropoda; Insecta; Hymenoptera; Braconidae. The transcript has 3 exons.
GUUUCACGACAUUUAGCGACCGGCUCAUAAACGAAACGUUAGUUGAAUUUAACAUUAGGGAUACUCAUUAGUGCGCUUGCAACCGAUUGAUUACAAGAAUUCCAGAAGCUACCAAACUCUUGACAAACAACGACUGUUUCAGAAAUCGUAAAUAUAAAUCAAAAUGUCAAAAAUUAUUUUGUUGAUGUCAAUAUUUUUGUUCAUUGGGCUCGCAGUGAAUGUUAUGGGCGAUUGUAAGUUAGACGAUUGUUUUAUAGACUCUAAUUGCUGUGACGGAUACUAUUGCGCUCGGGGAAGCGAUGUAGGGACUUGUUGGCCAAAUGAAUUAAAAGUCUAAAAACUUGCGGAUUUAAAAAUUUAAUUUUUUUGUCUAUUGAGUUUUUUGUCGAAGCAAAAUUAUGAGAAAUGACAAAUAAAUAAAUUUUAUUGCAAAA